This 319-nucleotide unclassified non-coding RNA is filed under the name Hevea brasiliensis (rubber tree). Lineage: Eukaryota; Viridiplantae; Streptophyta; Magnoliopsida; Malpighiales; Euphorbiaceae. The record is from RNAcentral.
GUGGGGUUGGCAAUGCAGAUCUUCAACUACCGAAAAGGAAAAUUGUGCCCUGCGAUGUCUUUCUCCUACUUGUUAUGAUCUAGUUUAUGGCAGUGAUCCGCUCGAGGAAGGAGAGAAGGACCUUGCUAGGAGUCAAGAGUAUAAGUAUUGUAUAUAUAAGUUAUCAAUGGGGGAGAGUCUGGAGGGUAUUAAGGGCUCCUUUGACUACUGAUGUUUGUCUGCUUUCUCGAGAUUGUCUGUUAUUUUAACUGUCUGGUGUUCCGUUAUGCCCUGUUCUUCUGACAUUUGGGUCAAAAUUUGAGGUACAAAUCCAAUCCCG